CUGAAAGUUGUUAGAUCGGCCAUUACU
This 27-nucleotide unclassified non-coding RNA is filed under the name Dictyostelium discoideum. Lineage: Eukaryota; Evosea; Eumycetozoa; Dictyosteliales; Dictyosteliaceae. The record is from RNAcentral.